AUUAGCACUCACUUCAGUGCCCUCUCUGUCUCAGGAGCUCUUCCUCCUGCUUUGCUGUUCCUAGGACUGGCACAUCCAUCCACCGUUAACUAGAGCUCCAUAUAGUUCUCCAUGUAGGGCCGACUGCAGUCAAUGACUUUUAUCAUCAGUACAUGUCACAAGAAAACAUUUAAAAUGACACUGAAACAAUCAUUGAAAUCAUGGUGCAUGGAGGAAAAAGCCACUUCUCGACAUGGUCUGCACAUACAGUAGAUACAUUCAUUAUUGUCCAAGGGAAGACAGUAACUGCCUUUCAUUUUAAAGAGCUUGGUGGAGAGGCUGAAGAAAUGUGCUGCAGCUGAAGGU
This 345-nucleotide long non-coding RNA is filed under the name Homo sapiens (human). RNAcentral describes it as "HSALNT0345198". The record is from RNAcentral. Lineage: Eukaryota; Metazoa; Chordata; Mammalia; Primates; Hominidae.